AGAGUUUGAUCCUGGCUCAGGACGAACUCUGGCGGCGUGCCUAAUACAUGCAAGUCGAGCGAGCUUGCCUAGAUGAUUUUAGUGCUUGCACUAAAUGAAACUAGAUACAAGCGAGCGGCGGACGGGUGAGUAACACGUGGGUAACCUGCCCAAGAGACUGGGAUAACACCUGGAAACAGAUGCUAAUACCGGAUAACAACACUAGACGCAUGUCUAGAGUUUGAAAGAUGGUUCUGCUAUCACUCUUGGAUGGACCUGCGGUGCAUUAGCUAGUUGGUAAGGUAACGGCUUACCAAGGCAAUGAUGCAUAGCCGAGUUGAGAGACUGAUCGGCCACAUUGGGACUGAGACACGGCCCAAACUCCUACGGGAGGCAGCAGUAGGGAAUCUUCCACAAUGGACGAAAGUCUGAUGGAGCAACGCCGCGUGAGUGAAGAAGGGUUUCGGCUCGUAAAGCUCUGUUGGUAGUGAAGAAAGAUAGAGGUAGUAACUGGCCUUUAUUUGACGGUAAUUACUUAGAAAGUCACGGCUAACUACGUGCCAGCAGCCGCGGUAAUACGUAGGUGGCAAGCGUUGUCCGGAUUUAUUGGGCGUAAAGCGAGUGCAGGCGGUUCAAUAAGUCUGAUGUGAAAGCCUUCGGCUCAACCGGAGAAUUGCAUCAGAAACUGUUGAACUUGAGUGCAGAAGAGGAGAGUGGAACUCCAUGUGUAGCGGUGGAAUGCGUAGAUAUAUGGAAGAACACCAGUGGCGAAGGCGGCUCUCUGGUCUGCAACUGACGCUGAGGCUCGAAAGCAUGGGUAGCGAACAGGAUUAGAUACCCUGGUAGUCCAUGCCGUAAAC
RNAcentral lists this ribosomal RNA (839 nucleotides) under uncultured bacterium. RNAcentral describes it as "bacterial SSU rRNA". It matches the Rfam family "Bacterial small subunit ribosomal RNA", at positions 8 to 807 of the family's 1533-position model. The record is from RNAcentral.